RNAcentral lists this ribosomal RNA (514 nucleotides) under uncultured bacterium. RNAcentral describes it as "partial 16S ribosomal RNA". It matches the Rfam family "Bacterial small subunit ribosomal RNA", at positions 28 to 523 of the family's 1533-position model. The record is from RNAcentral.
GACGAACGCUGGCGGCAUGCCUAAUACAUGCAAGUCGAGCGAACAGAUGAAGUGCUUGCACUUCUGACGUUAGCGGCGAACGGGUGAGUAACACGUAAGGAAUCUACCUAUAAGCGGGGGAUAACAUGCGGAAACGGGUGCAAAUACCGCAUAAUAUCUUCUUUCGCAUGGAAGAAGAUUGAAAGACGGUUUCGGCUGGCACUUGUAGAUGGACCCGCGGGGCAUUGGUUAGUUGGUGAGGUAAUGGCUCACCAAGACGAUGACGCGUAGCCGACCUGAGCGGGGGAACGGCCACACUGGGACUGAGACACGGCCCAGACUCCUACGGGAGGCAGCAGUAGGGAAUCUUCCGCAAUGGGCGAAAGUCUGACGGAGCAACGCCGCGUGAGUGAAGAAGGUUUUCGGAUCGUAAAACUCUGUUGUUAGAGAAGAACAAGGAUGAGAGUAACUGCUCGUCCCUUGACGGUAUCUAACCAGAAAGCCAUGGCUAACUACGUGCCAGCCGCCGCAGUAA